GACGAACGCUGGCGGCGUGCUUAACACAUGCAAGUCGAGCGGUAAGGCCCUUUCGGGGGUACGACGAGCGGCGAACGGGUGAGUAACACGUGGGUGACCUGCCCUCCAGCUCUGGGAGUAAGCCUGGGAAACCGGGUACUAAUACCGGAUAUGACUCCAUGACGCAUGUUGUGGGGUGGAAAGCCUUGUGCGGCUGAGGAUGGGCCCGCGGCCUAUCAGCUUGUUGGUGGGGUGAUGGCCUACCAAGGCGACGACGGGUAGCCGGCCUGAGAGGGCGACCGGCCACACUGGGACUGAGACACGGCCCAGACUCCUACGGGAGGCAGCAGUGGGGAAUCUUGCGCAAUGGGCGAAAGCCUGACGCAGCAACGCCGC
Molecule: ribosomal RNA, 375 nt
Filed under: uncultured bacterium
Lineage: Bacteria
Description: bacterial SSU rRNA
Rfam family: Bacterial small subunit ribosomal RNA
Source: RNAcentral